UGGGGAAUCUUCCGCAAUGGACGAAAGUCUGACGGAGCAACGCCGCGUGAGUGAUGACGGUCUUCGGAUUGUAAAGCUCUGUUAAUCGGGACGAAUGGUUUGUGUGCAAAUAGUGCAUAGACAUGACGGUACCGGAAUAGAAAGCCACGGCUAACUACGUGCCAGCAGCCGCGGUAAUACGUAGGUGGCAAGCGUUGUCCGGAAUUAUUGGGCGUAAAGCCCGCGCAGGCGGACUAGCCAGUCAGUCUUAAAAGUUCGGGGCUUAACCCCGUGAUGGGAUUGAAACUACUAGUCUAGAGUAUCGGAGAGGAAAGUGGAAUUCCUAGUGUAGCGGUGAAAUGCGUAGAUAUUAGGAAGAACACCAGGGGCGAAGGCGACUUUCUGGACGAACACUGACGCUGAGGCGCGAAAGCCAGGGGAGCGAACGGG
RNAcentral lists this ribosomal RNA (429 nucleotides) under Verrucomicrobiota bacterium. RNAcentral's name for it is "Verrucomicrobia bacterium partial 16S ribosomal RNA". It matches the Rfam family "Bacterial small subunit ribosomal RNA", at positions 355 to 776 of the family's 1533-position model. The record is from RNAcentral. Lineage: Bacteria; Pseudomonadati; Verrucomicrobiota.